ACCUGUGAUGGAUGCAGACCUAGCAGCCCAGAUCUGGGAUGAACAAAAACUCCAUUUGGCAUGUAUUCAGGAUCUUGAGGGCAAGAACCUGUCACACAAAUCAGGACAAUAAAAAAGGGAGGCAUUGAAUUGGCCGUGUACCGAUGUGCAAGAGGCUCUGUUUCCUUGGAGUUGUUUCACAACCACAUUGUCAGAUUCAUACCAGGUACAGUUGCAAACGACAGCCAUUUCCAAGCAUACCUUUUGGAGGGCAUUGUGCGAUGGAAUAAAGACAGAGAGCAGGGGCGGGAAUGUGG
Long non-coding RNA from Lingula anatina, 296 nucleotides. The record is from RefSeq and is a predicted model, not a curated record. Lineage: Eukaryota; Metazoa; Brachiopoda; Lingulata; Lingulida; Lingulidae.